This 146-nucleotide ribosomal RNA is filed under the name uncultured bacterium. Its description in RNAcentral is "partial 16S ribosomal RNA". It matches the Rfam family "Bacterial small subunit ribosomal RNA", at positions 337 to 477 of the family's 1533-position model. The record is from RNAcentral.
UCCUACGGGAGGCAGCAGUGGGGAAUAUUGCACAAUGGGCGCAAGCCUGAUGCAGCCAUGCCGCGUGUAUGAAGAAGGCCUUCGGGUUGUAAAGUACUUUCAGCGAGGAGGAAGGCGAUAAGGUUAAUAACCUUUGCAUGACGACC